CCUGAAUCCAUCUCGAACUCAGAAGUGAAACGUACAUGCGCCAAUGAUAGUGUGAGGCUUCCUC
Molecule: ribosomal RNA, 64 nt
Filed under: Legionella longbeachae
Lineage: Bacteria; Pseudomonadati; Pseudomonadota; Gammaproteobacteria; Legionellales; Legionellaceae
Source: RNAcentral